CCUACGGGAGGCAGCAGUGAGGAAUAUUGGUCAAUGGCCGGAAGGCUGAACCAGCCAAGCCGCGUGAGGGAGUAAGGCGCAGAGCGUCGUAGACCUCUUUUGCCGGGGGACAAGAGCCGGGACGGGUCCCGUCCUGAGGGUACCCGGAGAAAAAGCAUCGGCUAACUCCGUGCCAGCCGCCGCGGUUAUACGGAGGAUGCGAGAGGUUUCCGGAUUUAUUGGGUUUAAAGGGUGCGGAGGCGGGCCUUUAAGGCGGCGGUAAAAUCGCGGGGCUCAACCCCGGCGGGCCGUUGGCACUGGGGGCCUUGAGUGGGGGAGAAGCAUGCGGAAUGCGCGGUGUAGCGGUGAAAUGCAUAGAUAUCGCGCAGAACCCCGAUUGCGAAGGCAGCCUGCCGGCGCGCCACUGACGCUGAGGCACGAAAGUGCGGGGAUCGAACAGGAUUAGAUACCCCUGUAGUC
This 459-nucleotide ribosomal RNA is filed under the name uncultured bacterium. RNAcentral's name for it is "partial 16S ribosomal RNA". It matches the Rfam family "Bacterial small subunit ribosomal RNA", at positions 338 to 795 of the family's 1533-position model. The record is from RNAcentral.